This 1693-nucleotide unclassified non-coding RNA is filed under the name Manduca sexta (tobacco hornworm). RNAcentral describes it as "uncharacterized LOC119193143, transcript variant X2". The record is from RNAcentral. Lineage: Eukaryota; Metazoa; Arthropoda; Insecta; Lepidoptera; Sphingidae.
AAACGACGCGUAGCGCCAUUUUUAUUGUGGUUAACCUUUAACCGCUGCUUUGAAAUUGAAUUUUCCGUCGCAAUUCGCUAUUUUGAUUUGAAGGCGGUUUUCAUUUAUUUAUUAUCUAAUUAUAGUGCUUUAUUGUGUGUGAAUGUUUUUGUAAACAGUAUAUUAUAAAAGCAAUCAUUUAGUGUUUACCAGUUUAAACGUGUAAUUGUUUUUUUCGUAUAGUUUGAUUUAUUUGAUAAUAUAAUGGUUUAUAAGUGCUCUGUUCCCGGGUGCAGUACUCGAGGCCGAGAAAAAAAACCUACUCAUUGGCAACCAAAGGGCAAAGUGGGAGUAUAUUGAGAGACUUUAUAAAGUGGAUGGUUUUGGUGGCAGAGCAAGAAGCACCAAACUUACUGAGAAGCACAUAAAUCCAACUUCAUAUGACAAAAUGAAGGUCAAAUUUGCAGCCCAAGUUUUUAGCCGGCAAGUGGCUACAUCACUAGAAAUCCAGAUGAAGUCUCUGCUAUCUCCAGGAUCAUGAUUACAUAAGUUUAAAUGAAGACAUUGGAAAUGGUUUGUUCACAGCAGAAAUUCUUCUUUUUAUAAAUAAUUUGUUUGAUAGUUUAAAUGGUUUUGGUCAUUAUGGGAAUAAGUUAAAACAUGCUCUUUCAUAUAAUUCGGAGCACAUUGCAUUCUGGAAUGAUGCUGUGAAAAAGCUAGCUUCAAUGCGCUUUGACGCUUCCAAUGAAAGGGAAAGGAAGCCUUUAUCACUGAAGCAUUUUGAACAUAAUAUAAAAACAAUAAAACAUUUGUGGUCAGAUCUGCUGAGAAUUGAUGGUGUUAAAUUUUUAAGUCUUAGACGUCUUAAUCAAGAUCCGAUAGAAAACUUUUUUGGUCAAAUAAGGGCACAUGGUAAUUUUAGUACAAAUCCUAAUUGUACUCAUUUUGUAUCGGCUUUUAAAACCUUGUUGAUUAACAACAUUACUACCGGUAAAUCUUUAUACACUAAUUGUUCUGAUGAUGAUGACAAAAUGUUGGGAACAUUAAAACAUUUAGUCAGCCACCAAAAAUAUGGUUCAUACACUGAUAGUCUUCAAUGUAAUGAAACUAACUUUAUAGAAAUUUCUAUACCUAACGAGAAUAUAUUCCAACAUAAGUCUGUACCAUAUAUUGCUGGUGCAGUGUGUGGUUUUGAUGUCCAAUUUGAACUGCAAAGAUUGUGAUAAUUGUACAAAAGCACUAUUAUCUCAGAGAGAGUCAUUUCACGAAUUAAUUAAUUUAAGAGAAUAUAGUUCCAAUGUAGAUAGGUUAUGUUAUCCUUCUAAUAAUUUUAGUCAAAUGGUCUGGCAGAGUAUUUACAUUAUUGACAAGAUGAUGCCAUUUCUUUGCAGUGUUUAUAUUUAUUCUGACUUAAUAAGUAAUUUAAUAAAAUAUAUUGACACUACUUGGUACAACUGUAAUAUUCACAAAACGGCUGUUAUUAAAGCUUUUGGUCCUACAUAGUUAGAAUGCAAGUUAAGCAGUGGUGUAUUAAUUUUAAUAAUAGAAUGAAUAAUAUUGAUUCAAGGCCUAAAGAUAUAGAAAUGGAAACUCUAAUCCGUGAGAAAGUCACAAAAGGAUUGAGUUAUAGAUCACAAAGAAGGCGUAGUUCCUAAUCUCACUUAAUUAAAGUUCUUCAUAGUAUUUUGUCCACAAUUAUUACGAUUUUUGCAAA